RNAcentral lists this ribosomal RNA (238 nucleotides) under uncultured bacterium. Its description in RNAcentral is "partial 16S ribosomal RNA". It matches the Rfam family "Bacterial small subunit ribosomal RNA", at positions 15 to 244 of the family's 1533-position model. The record is from RNAcentral.
GAUCAUGGCUCAGGAUGAACGCUAGCUACAGGCUUAACACAUGCAAGUCGAGGGGCAGCAUGGUCUUAGCUUGCUAAGGCCGAUGGCGACCGGCCCACGGGUGAGUAACGCGUAUCCAACCUGCCUUACACUCUUGGACAGCCUUCUGAAAGGGAGAUUAAUACAAGAUGUUAUCAUGAGUAAGCAUUUUCGCAUGAUUAAAGGUUUACCGGUGUAAGAUGGGGAUGCGUUCCAUUAG